UGCACUACUUGACGCGACACUUGGGAC
This 27-nucleotide non-coding RNA is filed under the name Bombyx mori (domestic silkworm). Lineage: Eukaryota; Metazoa; Arthropoda; Insecta; Lepidoptera; Bombycidae. The record is from RNAcentral.